Molecule: long non-coding RNA, 444 nt
Filed under: Prunus persica (peach)
Lineage: Eukaryota; Viridiplantae; Streptophyta; Magnoliopsida; Rosales; Rosaceae
Description: long non-coding RNA (PPER_LNC000864)
Source: RNAcentral
AAGCUAUUAAUGAUUUCUACUUAUAUGUUAGACCAUUCAUGAUGGAGUGGAACGAACUUUGAAGUUUCUGUAUCUUGGAGAAAGUUCAAAUGCUUGUAUUCAUAUUUUCAUACUUUUUUGCAGUAUGGAUUACCAAUGCCGAUUUCUUUGUUAAGGGCAGAUAAUAACCUUCCUCCUUGGCGUCCUGGAUUGAAAGAGGUACUCUUUCUCUCUAUAUUUUUGGUUCUUGUUGCAUUGUGAACACCAUUUACUUCCUUAGAUGGCAUUAUUAGAGUAGUAUGUGCUUUUCUUUUUAUUUCCCAACUGUUAUUCUAUUUUUGGUGGUUACUCAAUCUACCUUGUUCUCUUCGUUAUUUUUACUUUAGCAAACUGUUUGGCUAAUAUAUAGCUGACCAUAUAUGUGUUUGGUGCCUGAUUUCUGCAUGAAUUAAAUCUACAUAGGGG